RNAcentral lists this ribosomal RNA (1191 nucleotides) under Hagenius brevistylus. RNAcentral describes it as "partial 16S ribosomal RNA". The stretch from base 565 to 1191 matches the Rfam family "Archaeal large subunit ribosomal RNA", at positions 1424 to 2672 of the family's 2987-position model. The record is from RNAcentral. Lineage: Eukaryota; Metazoa; Arthropoda; Insecta; Odonata; Gomphidae.
UAUGAAUGAUCUUACUUGUUUUGUUUAUAUUUAUUUUAGAGAAAUAUCUUUUUUUUUAGUAUAAUUAAAGAACAAAGGAUUAGAAGUUAUAGUUAAUUAGUACUGUAAAGGAAUAUGAUGAAAUAUAUUGAAAAUUUUUAAUUUUUAUAAGUAGACUUGAUUUGUUGUACCUUUUGUAUCAGGGUUGAUUAAUUAUUUUUAAUUUAUUAAUUAUUUUCUCGAUUUCAGAAGAGCUAAAACCAGUUAAAAUUAAUGUGGCAUAAUUAUAGUUUAACUGGGUUUUAGGGGAGAAAUUCUAUUCGAUUUUAAAGGUAUCUAGUUUUUCAAGAAUUAAAUUUAAUUUAGGCUUAUAUUUUAAUGAAUUAAUUUAUUUAAUUUUUUAUGGAUAUGAUGCUAAUAUUUUAGGGGAUAAGCUCUAAUUUACUUUUAAAAAUACUAUAUUGGGUUAAUUUAUGUAGGAUUUAUACCGUUCAUCAAUAAAAAGUUCGUUAUAGUUUAUUUUGAUUUGUUAUGAUUUUUUUUUAUUUUAGUAGAUUAUUGAAAUAUUAUUUAUAAUUUUAUAAAAUUUGUAGUAAUGAUUAAAUUAGUAUAUUAGUAUGUUUACUAUUAUUUAUAGUGGUAUGAUUAAAUAAGGAACUCGGCAAAUAUAACGCUCGCCUGUUUAUCAAAAACAUGGCCUCUUGUUAUGUAUAUGAGGUCAGACCUGCCCGGUGAAUGUGUUUUAACGGCCGCGGUAUAUUGACUGUGCAAAGGUAGCAUAAUCAUUAGUCUUUUAAUAGGAGGCUGGUAUGAAGGGUUUAACGAGGUGUUGACUGUCUCAUUUAAUUUAAUAUUAAAAUUUAACUUUUCAGUCAAAAGGCUGAAAUAUUAUUGGGGGACGAGAAGACCCUAUAGAGCUUUAUAGCUUAUGUUAUAAUUAAUUUUGGAUAUAUAAUUGUUAUUUAUGGCUUUGGCUAUUUUGUUGGGGUGACAAAAAUAUAUAAUUAACUUUUUGAUUUAUAUAACAUUGAUUUAUGUUUAUUAGAUCCAUUCAUUAUUGAUUGUUAAAACAAGUUACCUUAGGGAUAACAGCGUAAUCUUCCUCUAGAGUUCAUAUUCACGGGGAGGCUUGCGACCUCGAUGUUGGAUUAAGAUAAUAAUUAGGUGCAUCCGCUUAAUGGNUAGGUCUGUUCGACCUUUAAAUUCUUACAU